GGGCUUCGGCCCUGGGGACAGCGGCGAACGGGUGAGUACCACGUGAGUAAUCUGCCCUCGGCACCGGGAUAGCCCGGGGAAACCCGGAUUAAUACCGGAUGGCCUCUCGAGCUUUCGGGCUCGUGAGAAAAGGUAGCUUCGGCCUCCGGCCGAGGAGGAGCUCGCGGCGGAUUAGCUUGUUGGUGAGGUAAUGGCUCACCAAGGCGACGAUCCGUAGCUGGUCUGAGAGGACGAUCAGCCACACUGGGACUGAGACACGGCCCAGACUCCUACGGGAGGCAGCAGUAGGGAAUCUUGCGCAAUGGGCGAAAGCCUGACGCAGCGACGCCGCGUGCGGGAAGAAGGCCUUCGGGUUGUAAACCGCUUUCAGGAGGGACGAAGCCACUCGGGUUAAUAGCCCAGAGGGUGACGGUACCUCCAGAAGAAGCCCCGGCUAACUACGUGCCAGCAGCCGCGGUAAUACGUAGGGGGCAAGCGUUGUCCGGAUUCAUUGGGCGUAAAGAGCGUGUAGGCGGCCAGGUAGGUCCGUUGUGAAAACUCGAGGCUCAACCUCGAGACGUCGAUGGAAACCCUUUGGCUAGAGUCCGGAAGAGGAGAGUGGAAUUCCUGGUGUAGCGGUGAAAUGCGCAGAUAUCAGGAAGAACACCUAUGGCGAAGGCAGCUCUCUGGGACGGUACUGACGCUGAGACGCGAAAGCGUGGGGAGCGAACAGGAUUAGAUACCCUGGUAGUCCACGCCGUAAACGAUGGGAACUAGGUGUGGGCGGUGUCGACUCCGUCCGU
Molecule: ribosomal RNA, 782 nt
Filed under: uncultured Actinomycetes bacterium
Lineage: Bacteria; Bacillati; Actinomycetota; Actinomycetes
Description: bacterial SSU rRNA
Rfam family: Bacterial small subunit ribosomal RNA
Source: RNAcentral